UCCUGGUUAGCUCAGUUGGUAGAGCGCUCCAGUGGAAAUUGAGAGGUCCCUGGUUCGACACUAGGACCAGGUG
RNAcentral lists this transfer RNA (73 nucleotides) under Ixodes scapularis (black-legged tick). It matches the Rfam family "tRNA". Rfam says of the family: Transfer RNA (tRNA) molecules are approximately 80 nucleotides in length. Lineage: Eukaryota; Metazoa; Arthropoda; Arachnida; Ixodida; Ixodidae. The record is from Rfam by way of RNAcentral.